This 1710-nucleotide ribosomal RNA is filed under the name Escherichia coli. Its description in RNAcentral is "partial 23S ribosomal RNA". It matches the Rfam family "Bacterial large subunit ribosomal RNA", at positions 165 to 1898 of the family's 2925-position model. The record is from RNAcentral. Lineage: Bacteria; Pseudomonadati; Pseudomonadota; Gammaproteobacteria; Enterobacterales; Enterobacteriaceae.
CAUAGGUUAAUGAGGCGAACCGGGGGAACUGAAACAUCUAAGUACCCCGAGGAAAAGAAAUCAACCGAGAUUCCCCCAGUAGCGGCGAGCGAACGGGGAGCAGCCCAGAGCCUGAAUCAGUGUGUGUGUUAGUGGAAGCGUCUGGAAAGGCGCGCGAUACAGGGUGACAGCCCCGUACACAAAAAUGCACAUGCUGUGAGCUCGAUGAGUAGGGCGGGACACGUGGUAUCCUGUCUGAAUAUGGGGGGACCAUCCUCCAAGGCUAAAUACUCCUGACUGACCGAUAGUGAACCAGUACCGUGAGGGAAAGGCGAAAAGAACCCCGGCGAGGGGAGUGAAAAAGAACCUGAAACCGUGUACGUACAAGCAGUGGGAGCACGCUUAGGCGUGUGACUGCGUACCUUUUGUAUAAUGGGUCAGCGACUUAUAUUCUGUAGCAAGGUUAACCGAAUAGGGGAGCCGAAGGGAAACCGAGUCUUAACUGGGCGUUAAGUUGCAGGGUAUAGACCCGAAACCCGGUGAUCUAGCCAUGGGCAGGUUGAAGGUUGGGUAACACUAACUGGAGGACCGAACCGACUAAUGUUGAAAAAUUAGCGGAUGACUUGUGGCUGGGGGUGAAAGGCCAAUCAAACCGGGAGAUAGCUGGUUCUCCCCGAAAGCUAUUUAGGUAGCGCCUCGUGAAUUCAUCUCCGGGGGUAGAGCACUGUUUCGGCAAGGGGGUCAUCCCGACUUACCAACCCGAUGCAAACUGCGAAUACCGGAGAAUGUUAUCACGGGAGACACACGGCGGGUGCUAACGUCCGUCGUGAAGAGGGAAACAACCCAGACCGCCAGCUAAGGUCCCAAAGUCAUGGUUAAGUGGGAAACGAUGUGGGAAGGCCCAGACAGCCAGGAUGUUGGCUUAGAAGCAGCCAUCAUUUAAAGAAAGCGUAAUAGCUCACUGGUCGAGUCGGCCUGCGCGGAAGAUGUAACGGGGCUAAACCAUGCACCGAAGCUGCGGCAGCGACGCUGAUGCGUUGUUGGGUAGGGGAGCGUUCUGUAAGCCUGUGAAGGUGUGCUGUGAGGCAUGCUGGAGGUAUCAGAAGUGCGAAUGCUGACAUAAGUAACGAUAAAGCGGGUGAAAAGCCCGCUCGCCGGAAGACCAAGGGUUCCUGUCCAACGUUAAUCGGGGCAGGGUGAGUCGACCCCUAAGGCGAGGCCGAAAGGCGUAGUCGAUGGGAAACAGGUUAAUAUUCCUGUACUUGGUGUUACUGCGAAGGGGGGACGGAGAAGGCUAUGUUGGCCGGGCGACGGUUGUCCCGGUUUAAGCGUGUAGGCUGGUUUUCCAGGCAAAUCCGGAAAAUCAAGGCUGAGGCGUGAUGACGAAGCACUACGGUGCUGAAGCAACAAAUGCCCUGCUUCCAGGAAAAGCCUCUAAGCAUCAGGUAACAUCAAAUCGUACCCCAAACCGACACAGGUGGUCAGGUAGAGAAUACCAAGGCGCUUGAGAGAACUCGGGUGAAGGAACUAGGCAAAAUGGUGCCGUAACUUCGGGAGAAGGCACGCUGAUAUGUAGGUGAGGUCCCUCGCGGAUGGAGCUGAAAUCAGUCGAAGAUACCAGCUGGCUGCAACUGUUUAUUAAAAACACAGCACUGUGCAAACACGAAAGUGGACGUAUACGGUGUGACGCCUGCCCGGUGCCGGAAGGUUAAUUGAUGGGGUUAGCGGUAA